Molecule: ribosomal RNA, 465 nt
Filed under: uncultured bacterium
Lineage: Bacteria
Description: bacterial SSU rRNA
Rfam family: Bacterial small subunit ribosomal RNA
Source: RNAcentral
CCUACGGGGGGCUGCAGUGGGGAAUUUUGGACAAUGGACGAAAGUCUGAUCCAGCCAUGCCGCGUGCGGGAAGAAGGCCUUCGGGUUGUAAACCGCUUUUGUCAGGGAAGAAACGGGUUUCUCUAAUACAGAGGCCUAAUGACGGUACCUGAAGAAUAAGCACCGGCUAACUACGUGCCAGCAGCCGCGGUAAUACGUAGGGUGCAAGCGUUAAUCGGAAUUACUGGGCGUAAAGCGUGCGCAGGCGGUUAUGCAAGACAGAUGUGAAAUCCCCGGGCUCAACCUGGGAACUGCAUUUGUGACUGCAUGGCUAGAGUACGGUAGAGGGGGAUGGAAUUCCGCGUGUAGCAGUGAAAUGCGUAGAUAUGCGGAGGAACACCGAUGGCGAAGGCAAUCCCCUGGACCUGUACUGACGCUCAUGCACGAAAGCGUGGGGAGCAAACAGGAUUAGAUACCCCAGUAGUC